UGAUGUUUUAACAAAAAUUGGUAGCACCAAACAUACGUAGAUGAGUACAUCAACCGUGUAAAUUACACCACAAGUGAAAGAUAAUGGAUUACCAGCAGUAUACAUUUGCGUAUGCAGUGGAUAGUGAUCAUUUAAGGCCAUUUGUUUACUAAUAAUCUCGAUUUUUGCCAUAUAGGUGAUAAGACUAUACGUUGGCCAAAAAACUGGUUGAUAGGAAUCAGGUUCGGUUGGUUAAAAAUCUAGAAUUCAAUUGGAAUGGUAGA
Molecule: long non-coding RNA, 263 nt
Organism: Helianthus annuus (common sunflower)
Lineage: Eukaryota; Viridiplantae; Streptophyta; Magnoliopsida; Asterales; Asteraceae
Exons: 2
Source: RefSeq, a predicted model, not a curated record